This 689-nucleotide ribosomal RNA is filed under the name uncultured bacterium. RNAcentral describes it as "bacterial SSU rRNA". It matches the Rfam family "Bacterial small subunit ribosomal RNA", at positions 28 to 714 of the family's 1533-position model. The record is from RNAcentral.
AACACCGUUAGCGGCGCGCCUAAGACAUGCAAGUCGAGCGAGAAAGGGCUUCGGCCCCGGUACAGUGGCGCACGGGUGAGUAACACGUAGGUAAUCAACCCUCGAGUGGUGGACAACUCUCCGAAAGGAGAGCUAAUACAGCAUGACGCCAGCAAUGGCCAAAGCGGGCCUCUUCAUGAAAGCUCGCGCUAGAGGAUGAGCCUGCGGCCCAUCAGGUAGUUGGCGGAGUAAUAGCCCACCAAGCCAUAGACGGGUAGCUGGUCUGAGAGGAUGAACAGCCACACUGGAACUGAGACACGGUCCAGACUCCUACGGGAGGCAGCAGUCGGGAAUCUUCCGCAAUGGGCGAAAGCCUGACGGAGCGACGCCGCGUGAGCGAUGAAGGCCUUCGGGUUGUAAAGCUCUGUGGGGAGAGAAGAAUAAGUUUAGGCGAAUACCCUGAAUGAUGACGGUAUCUCCUUAGCAAGCACCGGCUAACUCUGUGCCAGCAGCCGCGGUAAGACAGAGGGUGCAAACGUUGUUCGGAUUUACUGGGCGUAAAGCGUGUGUAGGCGGCUUGGCAAGUUGGAUGUGAAAGCCCACGGCUCAACCGUGGAAGCGCAUCCAAAACUGCUUCGCUCGAGUCUCGGAGAGGAAGGUGGAAUGCUUGGUGUAAGGUGAAAUUCGUAGAUAUCAGCAGAACACCUGCG